CCUAUGCAAUAUGAACCCAUGAACCAUGUCAGGUCCUGACGGAAGCAGCAUUAAGUGGAUCCUCAUAUGUGCCGUAGGGUAGCCGAGAUUUAGCUGUCGACUUCGGUAACGUUUAUGAUAUGCGUUCGAUACAAAGGUGCAUGG
This 144-nucleotide signal recognition particle RNA is filed under the name Staphylococcus sp. RNAcentral's name for it is "partial signal recognition particle sRNA large type". It matches the Rfam family "Bacterial large signal recognition particle RNA", at positions 120 to 256 of the family's 256-position model. From Rfam's summary of the family: The signal recognition particle (SRP) is a universally conserved ribonucleoprotein involved in the co-translational targeting of proteins to membranes. Archaeal SRP consists of a 7S RNA and homologues of the eukaryotic SRP19 and SRP54 proteins. In most bacteria, the SRP consists of a 4.5S RNA and the Ffh protein (a homologue of the eukaryotic SRP54 protein). The record is from RNAcentral. Lineage: Bacteria; Bacillati; Bacillota; Bacilli; Caryophanales; Staphylococcaceae.